This 472-nucleotide ribosomal RNA is filed under the name uncultured bacterium. RNAcentral's name for it is "bacterial SSU rRNA". It matches the Rfam family "Bacterial small subunit ribosomal RNA", at positions 25 to 518 of the family's 1533-position model. The record is from RNAcentral.
CAGGACGAACGCUGGCGGCGUGCUUCAUACAUGCAAGUCGAACGAGAAUUCACCUUCGGGUGGAGGAAAGUGGCGGACGGGUGAGUAAAAUGUAGAGAAUCUACCCUAGAGCGGGGGACAACAGUUGGAAACGACUGCUAAUACCCCAUAUGCGCGUACUUGAGAUAGUAUUCGUGAAAACUCCGGUGCUCUGGGAUGAGUCUGCAUCUGAUUAGCUAGUUGGUAGUGUAAUGGACUACCAAGGCGACGAUCAGUAGCUGGUUUGAGAGGAUGAUCAGCCACAAUGGGACUGAGACACGGCCCAUACUCCUACGGGAGGCAGCAGUAGGGAAUUUUGCGCAAUGGGGGAAACCCUGACGCAGCAACGCCGCGUGAACGAAUAAGCCCUUCGGGGUGUAAAGUUCUGUCAGUGGGGACGAAACUUGACGGUACCCACAGAGGAAGCAUCGGCUAACUCCGUGCCAGCCGCCGC